AUUCUGUGAUGAGGGCACUUCCGUAAUAAUUCUUUGUACCUUUCCCAUGCCUCAUACAAUGACUCAUCAUCCAUUUGUUGGAAAGCAGUGAUCCCGUUCCUCAACUU
This is a non-coding RNA of Gossypium raimondii (Peruvian cotton), 107 nucleotides long. The record is from Rfam. Lineage: Eukaryota; Viridiplantae; Streptophyta; Magnoliopsida; Malvales; Malvaceae.